RNAcentral lists this ribosomal RNA (507 nucleotides) under uncultured bacterium. RNAcentral describes it as "partial 16S ribosomal RNA". It matches the Rfam family "Bacterial small subunit ribosomal RNA", at positions 28 to 523 of the family's 1533-position model. The record is from RNAcentral.
GACGAACGCUGGCGGCGUGCUUAACACAUGCAAGUCGAACGAGAAAGCCCUUUGGGGUAAGUACAGUGGCGAACGGGUGAGUAACACGUGGGCAACCUGCCCCAGAGAGCGGGACAACCCGGGGAAACCCGGGCUAAUACCGCAUGAUGCGUCUCCACUUAAGUGGAGCCGCCAAAUGGUAGCUUCGGCCUCCGCUCUGGGAUGGGCCCGCGCCGGAUUAGCUAGUUGGUUGGGGUAACGGCCCACCAAGGCGACGAUCCGUAGCUGGUCUGAGAGGACGAUCAGCCACACUGGGACUGAGACACGGCCCAGACUCCUACGGGAGGCAGCAGUGGGGAAUCUUGCGCAAUGGGCGAAAGCCUGACGCAGCAACGCCGCGUGGGGGAAGAAGGCCUUCGGGUUGUAAACCUCUUUCAGUAGGGACGAAGCUUCCGGGGUUAAUAGCCUACGGGGUGACGGUACCUACAGAAGAAGCCCCGGCUAACUACGUGCCAGCAGCCGCGGUAA